CAUGUACUCCCUCCGUUCGGAUAUACUUGCCGGAGAAAUGGAUGCAAAUGGAUGUAUCUAGAAUUAAAAUAUAUCUGAAUUCAUUCAUUUCCCGGACAAGUAUUUUUGGACCGAGGGAGUACCAA
Non-coding RNA from Triticum aestivum (bread wheat), 125 nucleotides. The record is from Rfam. Lineage: Eukaryota; Viridiplantae; Streptophyta; Magnoliopsida; Poales; Poaceae.